UACUAAAUCUUAUCGUGAAUAGUAUAAUUUGAAAUAUAUUAAUAAAGUGCAUUAUUUUCUUCGAAAAAAUUAAAAAUUACAAUUUAGUUCUCAAUAACUUAAUAUGUACACAUUAUAUAUUAUAAAAUUUGGUUAUGUAAAUCAGUUAAAAAGAAAUUUGUAUAAAAUAAGAUCGAAGAAUAAGCAAAAGAAAUGUGUAAAAUAAAGAGGUUGGAAAGAUAGCAAGACUAUGGGCAGGUCUGGGUUAGGAGGUGCGGUGAAAAGCGGCUCGAAGGUAAUAGAGCGGUGCAACGAGCAGACACCUCGCAAUUUGGCUAAUGGCUUCCCACUGGUAUCGUGGUGGCUCCAGAUACACGAAUACGCAACAUACGCUAGCUACUUUUCUCGUUCUAAUACAAUCUAUAUUCUUUGUUCUCCUAGUUUGAUAUAUUUCUACUUUGGAAUUUGCCUUAUUCGUACUUUCAAAUAUCGAUAAAAAUCUUCAAUUUCUCUAUUCACAUCAAUGGAAAUAAUAAUAAUCAUUUUUCGAAUACUUUAUAAUAUAAGUAAUUAAAUCCGGAAUUUUUCAAAGUGUACAACAGUGAUUUUUUAUAUUCUAUAGAAUAUUAAUGUUUUGUAAAAUUAUGAAAUUCGUGUAUUAAUUAAAAUAUAUGAUGGUGAUUUAGUGUUCCGUAAAUUUUUCUUGCAAUCAAGUGUUUCGUGAUUUUGAAAAAUUACGAGAGAGAUUGUAAAUCAAGCAACGAAGAAUAUCGUCCAUGUUUGAUUCUCCAGAGAAUUCUUUCGCCAGUAGUUCCUACAAGGGACGAAGUUAAAAUCCGAAGGAUCUUUAGAACCAAGGGUCGAUGUGGCUUGAGAAGAGAGCCAGAGUGAAGUAAGGAUUUGGAUGACGAGAUCGUGGACGCCGGAUUGUGGAUUCCCGAGGGGACUCGACGGAAGAGAAGAACGGUUACUCGUUCGUUCAUCUGUGUCCCUUUUCUUUCUUGCUUUGUGUAUGCAUACAACCUCACUGUUACGAAGAAGGUAAAAUGCGAGUGAUAAAAAAAUUGUAACGAAAGGAUGAAGAAAAGUGAGAGAUAUGUUUCAAAUGUGUGUAUGUAUAUAUGUAAAAGUGUGUUUGGGAUAAAGAAAAAGAGACGAUGAAAA
Molecule: long non-coding RNA, 1143 nt
Organism: Apis mellifera (honey bee)
Lineage: Eukaryota; Metazoa; Arthropoda; Insecta; Hymenoptera; Apidae
Exons: 2
Source: RefSeq, a predicted model, not a curated record